AGACACACACCUCAGAAAGCAUUUUCCCAAGAAUACCCACGCAUUCAGUUCCCUUUCCAACCCAUUGAGCAUCAGUUUGAAGAAGCUUUGAUUUAGUGGAGUUUGACUAUCUGGUCAGAGAAUAAAGCUGGGACUUUAUCAAGACCACACAUCUUACCAUGCUCCAACAUCGCCUCUGCUAUCUGUUGUGUAAUCAUUCAGACCAUCCAACAAUAUGUUAUAUAUCUCUGUAACGUUACGUUUACACACAAAUUCAUUUGGUGAUCCUUCUCCAUUCACCCCUACUGUCAAGCAAACUCUAAAGGUAGAAGGAAGAUAAUUAUUAGGAUCAUAUAAUAUUUUUUUUAAAAAAACACUCGUGUAUUAACAAAUUUCUGCUUAACCCAAUAAAUAAUUAAAUAGCACAAUACCACCUAUUAAUCAAAAUGUAAGUAAUGCGUCUUACAAGUAAUCCUUGACUUAUGUCCAUUCAUUUAAUGAUGGUCCAGAGUUACAACAAUCACACUAUCCCUCCAGUCACAUGCGUGCUAUUUGGCACUUGGCAACCAACUCCCAUUUACGACUACAAUGAAGAUAGUUGCAGUAUUCUACAGUCAUGCGAUUGUGAUUGCAAGGGGCUUUCAACCAGCAAAGUCAAUGGGAGAAGCUGGAUUCACUUAACUAUAUGAUUGACUUAAUGAACACGUGAUUCACUUAACAACCAUGGUGAUUAACUUAAUUAUGUGAUAAAAAUGGUAAAAUCUGGUCGAGUCACAUGACACGUCACUUAACAACCACAUCACUUAACAACUGAAAUUCUGGACCCAGUUGUGGUUAUUAAGGCAAGGACUACCUGUACUUGAUAUUAUAAAACUUUAGUCUACAUACACACAGACAAUUAGUUUUGGUAUUACAUCCUUAUUAUGUAGAAUUAACUACAGAUUGGGGAGGGGAAGGCUGGGGGAACAUGAUUGUCAUAUUUUCCUAGCCAAGUUUUUUUUUCAUACCUAAUGACAUAGAAAAAGACCAGAGUACAGUGGGAAAUUUAGAGGUAAUUAUUCUAUCAACAGUUCAGCUUGCUCCUGAGUGACAAGUUGUUCAGCUGUUUUACAUAAAAAAGUGAUGUUUUACUAGUCCCUUAGGUCUUACGAUCUCUAACGGGUUGAAAGUUACAGCACAUACAAGUACUCUUGCCAUUUACACUGGAUAUUUAACAAAGCAGUAAGCAAUUUCUUCUGCUAAUAAGUUGUCACUGGAAGCAUAGCAGGGAGUUCUGGAGAAAAUCCCACUGGCAAAGAUUAUCGCUUGUUUGAGAUGCACGAUUUCAAUUGUCAUUUUCUAUGUAUCAUGUUACAGGGCCUGCUUUUUACAGGGUUUUUCCCCACACAGAAUUCAUUCUACAUAGUUUAUACCAGUGCUUCCCAAACCAUGAGGUGUACCUCUCUUGGGGAAGUACAGAGUCCAGGGGAGGUGUGAAGAGUCUUUUAAUUUAUUUAUUAAAUUUAUAUGCCGCCCAUCUCAUUAUUGAGCAACUGGGGUGGCUUACAAAAUGUUAAAAAGUUGUACAUAGCUGUACAUUGUUACAAUAAAUUCACCUUUCCCAAAG
Molecule: long non-coding RNA, 1585 nt
Organism: Protobothrops mucrosquamatus (brown spotted pit viper)
Lineage: Eukaryota; Metazoa; Chordata; Lepidosauria; Squamata; Viperidae
Exons: 2
Source: RefSeq, a predicted model, not a curated record